Molecule: small RNA, 150 nt
Filed under: Arabidopsis thaliana (thale cress)
Lineage: Eukaryota; Viridiplantae; Streptophyta; Magnoliopsida; Brassicales; Brassicaceae
Description: ATSL089850
Source: RNAcentral
UGUCAUAUUUGACUCCAAAACACUACCCAACCUUCUUCUUGCUUCUCAAAGCUUUGAUGGUGUAGCUGAAGUCCGUAUGAGUAUUUGGCUUUGUAUAUUCUAACAAGGAAACAUUACUUAGGCUUUCAAGAUUCAGUUAUUGUUCUAGUU